CCUACGGGAGACAGCAGUGGGGAAUAUUGCGCAAUGGGCGAAAGCCUGACGCAGCGACGCCGCGUGAGGGAUGAAGGUCUUCGGAUCGUAAACCUCUGUCAGCAGGGAAGAACGGUAACUGUGCUAAUCAGCAGUGAAUUGACGGUACCUGCAAAGGAAGCACCGGCUAACUCCGUGCCAGCAGCCGCGGUAAUACGGAGGGUGCGAGCGUUAAUCGGAGUUACUGGGCGUAAAGGGCGCGUAGGCGGUAUGUCAAGUCAAGGGUGAAAUCCCCGCGCUCAACGUGGGAACUGCCUUUGAAACUGGCAGACUGGAGUGCGUGAGAGGAAAGCGGAAUUCCAGGUGUAGGAGUGAAAUGCGUAGAUAUCUGGAGGAACAUCAGUGGCGAAGGCGACUAUCUGGCACGUAACUGACGCUGAGGAGCGAAAGCGUGGGUAGCAAACAGGAUUAGAUACCCUAGUAGUC
RNAcentral lists this ribosomal RNA (465 nucleotides) under uncultured bacterium. Its description in RNAcentral is "partial 16S ribosomal RNA". It matches the Rfam family "Bacterial small subunit ribosomal RNA", at positions 338 to 795 of the family's 1533-position model. The record is from RNAcentral.